UCAAACUUGGUCAUUUAGAGGAAGUAAAAGUCGUAACAAGGUUUCCGUAGGUGAACCUGCGGAAGGAUCAUUACCGAGUGCGGGCCCCUCGCGGGUCCAACCUCCCACCCGUGUCUCUUGAAUACCCUGUUGCUUUGGCGGGCCCACCGGGACACCCCCGGUCGCCGGGGGGCACUGCGCCCCCGGGCCCGCGCCCGCCAGAGCGCCGAUGAACCCGAAUGAAGAAGGACUGUCUGAGUCUACGAUAUAAUUAUCAAAACUUUCAACAAUGGAUCUCUUGGUUCCGGCAUCAAUGAAGAACGCAGC
Molecule: unclassified non-coding RNA, 306 nt
Filed under: uncultured fungus
Lineage: Eukaryota; Fungi
Description: partial contains small subunit ribosomal RNA, internal transcribed spacer 1, and 5.8S ribosomal RNA
Rfam family: Eukaryotic small subunit ribosomal RNA (bases 1-73)
Source: RNAcentral